UACGUAGGGUGCAAGCGUUGUCCGGAAUUAUUGGGCGUAAAGAGCUCGUAGGCGGUCUGUCGCGUCGGCUGUGAAAACCCGAGGCUCAACCUCGGGCCUGCAGUCGAUACGGGCAUGACUGGAGUUCGGCAGGGGAGACUGGAAUUCCUGGUGUAGCGGUGAAAUGCGCAGAUAUCAGGAGGAACACCGGUGGCGAAGGCGGGUCUCUGGGCCGAUACUGACGCUGAGGAGCGAAAGCGUGGGGAGCGAACAGG
This 254-nucleotide ribosomal RNA is filed under the name uncultured bacterium. RNAcentral's name for it is "partial 16S ribosomal RNA". It matches the Rfam family "Bacterial small subunit ribosomal RNA", at positions 524 to 776 of the family's 1533-position model. The record is from RNAcentral.